Arachis ipaensis is the source of this 364-nucleotide non-coding RNA. The record is from RefSeq and is a predicted model, not a curated record. Lineage: Eukaryota; Viridiplantae; Streptophyta; Magnoliopsida; Fabales; Fabaceae.
CUGCAGGACGACGGCGACAACGACUGCAAGCGACAAUCAGAGACACUUACAACGAGGAGGACAGAAGAGCAGUGAUGACUUAGGAGAAUCAAGAGAGUUCAAAGAUUGCAGCCUCACCAGAGAGAUAUCAAGAAUCGAAAUCGGGUUAGAACGAGAUUGAGAAGAGAGCAAGAGCAGAUCGAACAAGAGCCAGAUUGAGAUUGAAAUUCAGUGAAAUCGAUAUUGAAGCAAACGCACGAAGGAAUAGGUGAUUAGAUUGAACAAUUUUGAUUUUGUGAGCAAGAUUUGGAUCUGAGGAGUGAUAGAUUUUGAUUUUGUGAGCAGUGAGUUUUGCUUGUUUCUAUAAAUGUGAAUACGUGAUUAG